GUUUGAUCCUGGCUCAGGAUGAACGCUAGCGGCAGGCCUAAUACAUGCAAGUCGAGGGGCAGCACGGUAGCAAUACUGGUGGCGACCGGCAAACGGGUGCGGAACACGUACGCAACCUUCCUUCAAGUGGGGGAUAGCCCAUAGAAAUGUGGAUUAAUACCUCGUAAGAUUGUAGUGUGGCAUCACACAGCAAUUAUAGAAUUUCGCUUGAAGAUGGGCGUGCGUCUGAUUAGGUAGUUGGUGAGGUAACGGCUCACCAAGCCGACGAUCAGUAACUGGCGUGAGAGCGCGACCAGUCACACGGGCACUGAGACACGGGCCCGACUCCUACGGGAGGCAGCAGUAAGGAAUAUUGGUCAAUGGACGGAAGUCUGAACCAGCCAUGCCGCGUGGAGGAUGAAGGUCCUCUGGAUUGUAAACUUCUUUUAUUUGGGACGAAACACUUCCUUUCUAGGGAGCUUGACGGUACCAAGUGAAUAAGCACCGGCUAACUCCGUGCCAGCAGCCGCGGUAAUACGGAGGGUGCAAGCGUUAUCCGGAUUCACUGGGUUUAAAGGGUGCGUAGGCGGGCUUGUAAGUCCGUGGUGAAAUCUCAAAGCUUAACUUUGAAACUGCCAUGGAUACUAUAGGUCUUGAAUGUUGUGGAGGUUUGCGGAAUAUGUCAUGUAGCGGUGAAAUGCUUAGAUAUGACAUAGAACACCGAUUGCGAAGGCAGCAGGCUACACAAAUAUUGACGCUGAGGCACGAAAGCGUGGGGAUCAAACAGGAUUAGAUACCCUGGUAGUCCACGCCCUAAACGAUGAUUACUCGACAUUUGUGAUACACAAUAAGUGUCUGAGCGAAAGCAUUAAGUAAUCCACCUGGGAAGUACGACCGCAAGGUUGAAACUCAAAGGAAUUGACGG
RNAcentral lists this ribosomal RNA (904 nucleotides) under uncultured bacterium. RNAcentral's name for it is "bacterial SSU rRNA". It matches the Rfam family "Bacterial small subunit ribosomal RNA", at positions 11 to 916 of the family's 1533-position model. The record is from RNAcentral.